RNAcentral lists this ribosomal RNA (234 nucleotides) under uncultured bacterium. RNAcentral describes it as "partial 16S ribosomal RNA". It matches the Rfam family "Bacterial small subunit ribosomal RNA", at positions 99 to 334 of the family's 1533-position model. The record is from RNAcentral.
CGCACGGGUGAGUAACACGUAUCCAACCUGCCGUCUACUCUUGGACAGCCUUCUGAAAGGAAGAUUAAUACAAGAUGGCAUCAUGAGUUCACAUGUUCACAUGAUUAAAGGUAUUCCGGUAGACGAUGGGGAUGCGUUCCAUUAGAUAGUAGGCGGGGUAACGGCCCACCUAGUCUUCGAUGGAUAGGGGUUCUGAGAGGAAGGCCCCCACAUUGGAACUGAGACACGGUCCAA